ACGAGUGAAGUUGACCGCUGGGGAGUUCGGCCUCAAGGGUUUAAACUCAAAGGAAUUGACGGGGACCCGCACAAGCGGUGGAUGAUGUGGUUUAAUUCGAUGCAACGGGAAAAACCUUACCUACCUUUGACAUGUACGGAACUGGCCAGAGAUGGCUUGGUGCUCGAAAGAGAGCCCGUAACACAGGUGUCGGCAUGGCUGUCGUCAGCUCGUGUCGUGAGAUGUUGGGUUAAGUCCCGCAACGAGGGCAACCCUUGUCACUUAGUUGCUACAUUUAGUUGGGCACUCUAAUGAGACUGCCGGUGACAAACCGGAGGAAGGUGGGGAUGACGUCAAGUCCUCAUGGCCCUUAUAGGUAGGGCUACACACGUCAUACAAUGGAUGGUACAAAGGGUCGCCAACGCCGCGAGGGGGCAGCCAAUCCCAUAAAGCCAUUCGUAGUCCGGAUCGCAGUCUGCAACUCGACUGCGUGAAGUCGGAAUCGCUAGUAAUCGUGGAUCAGAAUGUCACGGUGAAUACGUUCCCCGGUGUCUUGUA
RNAcentral lists this ribosomal RNA (537 nucleotides) under uncultured Polaromonas sp. RNAcentral describes it as "bacterial SSU rRNA". It matches the Rfam family "Bacterial small subunit ribosomal RNA", at positions 855 to 1385 of the family's 1533-position model. Lineage: Bacteria; Pseudomonadati; Pseudomonadota; Betaproteobacteria; Burkholderiales; Comamonadaceae. The record is from RNAcentral.